This 431-nucleotide long non-coding RNA is filed under the name Apteryx rowi (Okarito brown kiwi). RNAcentral describes it as "lncRNA (ENSARWG00000006918.1)". The record is from RNAcentral. Lineage: Eukaryota; Metazoa; Chordata; Aves; Apterygiformes; Apterygidae.
CGCGUGUCGCAGGGGGGGCGCGUGCGCGGGGAGGGGGAGGGGGACACGGGACGCACACGCGUGUCGGCGGGGACACGGCGCCGUGGGGGGGGGCGCGUCCCUGCCCUUAGCGUGUGCGGCCACACGCGUGUGCGGGUCCCGGUCGCAUGUGCGCACGCGUGUCAGUGCGUGUGCGUGUCCUGCUCACGUGUGUGAGUCCCCCGGGCUGUUUGCACACGCAUGUGUGUGUCCUGGUCACAUGUGCAUGUGUCCCAGUCGCGUGUGCACACGCGUGUCAGUGCGUGUGCGUGUCCCGGUCGUGUGUGCGUGUGUCCCAGUCACGUGUGCGUGUGUCCCGGUCGCGUGUGCACACGCGUGUCGGUGCGUGUGCGCGUCCUGGUUGUGCAUGCACACGCGUGUGCACGUCCUGCUCGCGUGUGCGCGUGUCCCGG